Molecule: ribosomal RNA, 532 nt
Filed under: Dryodurgades lamellaris
Lineage: Eukaryota; Metazoa; Arthropoda; Insecta; Hemiptera; Cicadellidae
Description: partial large subunit ribosomal RNA
Source: RNAcentral
ACAUUUUUUUUAGUAAAAUUUUAAAGGUAAAUUUUGCUCAAUGAUUUAUUUUAAAUAGCUGCAGUAUUUUGACUGUACAAAGGUAGCAUAAUAAUUAGUUCAUUAAUUGUGAACUGGAAUGAAUGAAUAUAUGAAAUACUCUUUUUAUUUAUUUUAAAAUUAAAAUUUUAUUUUUAAGUUAAAAAGCUUAAUUGAUUUUUAGGGACGAUAAGACCCUAUAGAGGUUUAAUUAUUUUUAUAUAAUAAAUUUUUAUUGUUUAUGUUAUAAGAUUUUUAUGUUCUUAUUAUUUUUUCUGGGGCGGAAUAUAAAUUUAAACUUUAUUUUUUUUUUUCAUUUAUUUAUGAUUAUGUUGAUCCAUUUUUAAAUUGUUUUGAUUAUAAGAAAUAGCUACCUUAGGGAUAACAGCGUAAUUUCAAUGGGGAGUUCUUAUUUAUAUUGAAGUUUGCGACCUCGAUGUUGAAUUAAGAUUAGAUUUUGGGGUAGUUUUUAAUUUUCUAAGUCUGUUCAACUUUUAAAUUCUUACGUGAUCUG